RNAcentral lists this transfer RNA (72 nucleotides) under Camelus dromedarius (Arabian camel). It matches the Rfam family "tRNA". From Rfam's summary of the family: Transfer RNA (tRNA) molecules are approximately 80 nucleotides in length. RNAcentral also lists the same sequence under 1 other name. Lineage: Eukaryota; Metazoa; Chordata; Mammalia; Artiodactyla; Camelidae. The record is from Rfam by way of RNAcentral.
GAGGGUAGAGCUCAGUGGUAGAGCUUGUGCUUAGCAUGCAUGAGGUCCUGGGUUCAAUCCCCAGUACCUCCA